UUUUUAUACGACCGCAAAAAUUAAAAAAUUUUUGGUCGUAUAUUGGUAUGACGUUGGCGUCGUCGUCGUCGUCUCCGGCGUCGUCCGAAGACACAUUGGUUUUCGCACUCUAACUUUAGUUUAAGUUAAUGGAUCUCCAUGAAAUUUUACCAUAAGGUUCAAUACCACGAAAGGAAGGUUGGGAUUGAUUUUGGGGGUUAUGGUACCAACAGUUAAGGAAUUAGGGGCCAAAAAGGGGCCAAAAAUAAGCAUUUUUGUAACUUUCAGACAAUAACUUGUGUGUAAGUGUAUGGAUCUCUCUGACAUUGUACCACAAGGUUCCAUAUCACAAAGGGAAGGCUGUAAUUGAUUUUGGGGGUAAUUGCCUCAAAAUUUUAGGAAUUAGGGGCCAAAAAAGGGGCAAAAAACAAGCAUUUUUCUAGUUUCAUGACAAUAACUUGUGUGUAAGUGUUUGGAUAUUUCUGAAAUUGUACUACAAGGUUACAUAUCACAAAGGGAAAGCUGGAAUUGAGUUUGGGGGUAAUUGCCCGAAACGUUUAGGAAUUGGGGGCCAAAAAGGGGCCAAAAAUAAGCAUUUUUCUAGUUUCCAGACAAUAACUUGUGUUCAAGUGUAUGGAUCUCUCUGAAAUUGUACUGCAAGGUACCAUACCACAAAGGGAAGGCUGGGAUUGAGUUUGGGGGUGAUGAAUCAUAAGGGGGUUCAAAAAAUUUGGGGGGGGGGGGAUUUUUUUUUUUUUUUUUUUCUUUUUUUCCUUUUUUUUUUCUUUUAAAAUUUUCCAUUUUAAGUUGGUUAUUUCUGAUUUAUAUUUAAAAGCAAAUAAUAAUGAUAUGGUAGGAGAUACACACCAAACAGGAUGUGUAAAUUAUUAUAUAAUAAGUAUUGUGCAAUAGCAAGAAAUUUUCAAUUGCACAGUAUUGCACAAUAGCAAGAAAUCUUCAAUUGCACAGUAUUGCGCAAUAGCAAGAAAUCUUCAAUUUAACAGUAUUGCGCAAUAGCAAGAAAUAUCCAAUAGCACAAUAUUGCGCAAUAGCAAGAAAUUGUCAAUUGUACAGUAUUGCGCAAUAGCAAGAAAUAUUCAAUUGCACAGUAUUGUGCAAAAGAAGAUACUUCGUAUAAAUUGCUUAUUUCUUGAUCAAUUUUAAUGGGGUUUUAUUCUUGAAUUCUUGGGGUUCUUUAAUAUGCUGAAUCUAACCGUGUAUUAAUUUUUUAGAUUUUGGGCCCCGUUUUUAAAUUGGUCCACAUUGAGGUCCAAAGGGUCCAAAAUUAAACUUUGUUUGAUUUCAUCAAAAAUUGAAUUAUUGGGGUUCUUUGAUAUGCCGAAUCUAACCGUGUAUUUAGAUUUUUAAUUUUGGGUCCCUUUUUUAAAUUUGUCUACAUUAAGGUCCAAAGGGUCCAAAAUUAAACUUAGUUUGAUUUUAACAAAAAUUGAAUUCUUAGGGUUCUUUGAUAUGCUGAAUCUAAACAUGUGUUUAGAUUUUUAUACGACCGCAAAAAAAUUUUGUGGUCGUAUAUUGGUAUGACGUUGGCGUCGUCGUCGUCGUCGUCGUCGUCCGGCGUCGUCGUCGUCGUCCGGCGUCGUCGUCGUCGUCCGGCGUCGUCGUCCGAAUACACAUUGGUUUUCGCACUCUAACUUUAGUUUAAGUGAAUGGAUCUUUUUGAAAUUUGACCAUAAGGUUAAAUACCACAAAAGAAAGGUUGGGAUUGAUUUUGGGGGUUAUGGUACCAACAGUUAAGGAAUUAGGGGCCAAAAAGGGGCCAAAAAUAAGCAUUUUCUAGUUUCCAGACAAUAACUGUGGAACGGUGUAUGGAUCUCUCUGAAAUUAUACUACAAGUUUCCAUACCACAAAGGGAUGGUUAGGAUUUGCUUUGGGGGGUUAUGGCUCGAACCGUUUAGGAAUUAGGGGCAAAAAAGGGGGAAAAACAAGGUUGUCCUGGUUAAUGGACAAAUACUUUAGUACAAAACAUAAUUUAAAGCAGUGUAAGGGAGAUAAAUCAAAUACAUCAUUGAAAUUAUCUCCCUUACACUGCUUUUAAAUUAUGUAUAAAGUAAUGGUUAAUGAACAAUAAAGAUAAUUUAAAACAGUGUAAGGGAGGUAAUCCAAAUACAACGUUUUGGUUACUUCCCUUACACUGCUUUUAAAUUAUGUUUAAAGAAAUGCAUAUUUAUAAAGGCAGACCAGUAAAAAUAUCUGCAAAUGUUGCAUCUUUUUUUUUUACAAAAAAAUCCAUAUGAAGGUCCAAAGGGUCCAAAAUUAAACUUUGUUUGAUUUUAGCAAAAAUUGAAUAUAUGAGGUUCUUUGAUAUGCUGAAUCUAAACAUGUAUUUAGAUUUUUGAUUUUUGGCCCAGUUUUCAAGUUGGUCCAAAUUGGGGUCCAAAAUUAAACUUUGUUUGAUUUCAACAAAAAUUUAAUAUUUGGGGUUCUUUGAUAUGCUGAAUCUAACCAUGUAUUUAGAUUUUUUAUUUGUGGACCCCGUUAUCAAAUUGGUUCAUAUUGAGGUCAAAAGGGUCCAAAAUUAAACUUUGUUUGAUUUCAUCUGAAAUUGAAUUAUUGGGGUUCUUUGAUAUUCCAAAUCUAACCGUGUAUUUAGAUAUUUAAUUUUGGGUCCUGUUUUUUAAAUUGGUCUACAUUAAGGUCCAAAGGGUCCAAAGUUAAACUUAGUUUGAUUUUAACAAAAAUUGAAUUCUUGGGGUUCUUUGAUAUGGUGAAUCUAAACAUGUGUUUAGAUUUUUGAUUAUGGGCCCAGUUUUCAAGUUGGUCCAAGUUGGGGUCCAAAAUUAAACUUUUUUUGAUUUCAACAAAAAUUGAAUAUAUGGGGUUCUUUGAUAUGCUGAAUCUAACCAUGAAUUUAGAUUUUUUAUUUGUGGGCCCCGCUAUCAAAUUGGUUCAUAUUGAGGUCAAAAGGGUCCAAAAUUAAACUUUGUUUGAUUUCAUCAAAAAUUGAAUUAUUGGGGUUCUUUGAUAUUCCAAAUCUAACCGUGUAUUUAGAUUUUUGUCGAGCCUUCGACUUUUGUUGAAAAAGCGAGACAUAGUGAUC
Long non-coding RNA from Mytilus californianus (California mussel), 3037 nucleotides. RefSeq lists it as uncharacterized. The transcript has 3 exons. The record is from RefSeq and is a predicted model, not a curated record. Lineage: Eukaryota; Metazoa; Mollusca; Bivalvia; Mytilida; Mytilidae.